RNAcentral lists this ribosomal RNA (482 nucleotides) under uncultured bacterium. RNAcentral describes it as "partial 16S ribosomal RNA". It matches the Rfam family "Bacterial small subunit ribosomal RNA", at positions 30 to 507 of the family's 1533-position model. The record is from RNAcentral.
AUUGAACGCUGGCGGCAGGCCUAACACAUGCAAGUCGAGCGGAUGAAGGGAGCUUGCUCCUGGAUUCAGCGGCGGACGGGUGAGUAAUGCCUAGGAAUCUGCCUGGUAGUGGGGGAUAACGUCCGGAAACGGGCGCUAAUACCGCAUACGUCCUGAGGGAGAAAGUGGGGGAUCUUCGGACCUCACGCUAUCAGAUGAGCCUAGGUCGGAUUAGCUAGUUGGUGGGGUAAAGGCCUACCAAGGCGACGAUCCGUAACUGGUCUGAGAGGAUGAUCAGUCACACUGGAACUGAGACACGGUCCAGACUCCUACGGGAGGCAGCAGUGGGGAAUAUUGGACAAUGGGCGAAAGCCUGAUCCAGCCAUGCCGCGUGUGAAGAAGGUCCUCGGAUUGUAAAGCACUUUAAGUUGGGAGGAAGGGCAGUAAGUUAAUACCUUGCUGUUUUGACGUUACCAACAGAAUAAGCACCGGCUAACUUCGUG